GAUGAACGCUGGCGGCGUGCCUAAUACAUGCAAGUCGAGCGAACAGACGAGGAGCUUGCUCCUUUGACGUUAGCGGCGGACGGGUGAGUAACACGUAGGUAACCUACCUAUAAGACUGGGAUAACUUCGGGAAACCGGAGCUAAUACCGGAUAAUAUUUCGAACCGCAUGGUUCGAUAGUGAAAGAUGGCUUUGCUAUCACUUAUAGAUGGACCUGCGCCGUAUUAGCUAGUUGGUAAGGUAACGGCUUACCAAGGCAACGAUACGUAGCCGACCUGAGAGGGUGAUCGGCCACACUGGAACUGAGACACGGUCCAGACUCCUACGGGAGGCAGCAGUAGGGAAUCUUCCGCAAUGGGCGAAAGCCUGACGGAGCAACGCCGCGUGAAUGAUGAAGGUCUUCGGAUCGUAAAACUCUGUUAUUAGGGAAGAACAAACGUGUAAGUAACUGUGCACGUCUUGACGGUACCUAAUCAGAAAGCCACGGCUAACUCCGUG
Molecule: ribosomal RNA, 497 nt
Filed under: uncultured bacterium
Lineage: Bacteria
Description: partial 16S ribosomal RNA
Rfam family: Bacterial small subunit ribosomal RNA
Source: RNAcentral